UCUGAAACUCCGAAAUAAUCAAAACAUAAACAUUUUUUGCACUUUGCGAACAAUUUUUGAAAACGGGAACUACUUUUGUAACGCAUGAACAUCUUUUGACAAGUUGUGAAAAUUUUGAACAAAAGAUUUCGCAAUAUUUUUUUAAAAUAAGAACAUUUGUUGAAAGUUCUGAACAUUUCUUUAAAAAGGGACAUUUUUUGAAAUUUCAAACAUUUUCUAAAAGCAAGAAAAAAUUUCGAACAUGAACUUAGUUUAAAAAUCACGAAAUAUUUUUUUACUACUAGGUAUCGGCUGGUCCGGCCAGGAAUAGCACGUCAGCCGGCCCAUCUAAGUCAAUUAGGCUGGCACGAGGCCAGGAGAAGACAGCAGGUGCACCCACACGGCCGCACGCUCUCUCGACGACCUAGCCGCCGGACGGCCGGAGCAGGCGGAGCUCGCCCCCUGCCGAUCGCCGGACGCUGCCACACCGCGCAGACCUCGGCUUCCCGCCGGUUGCCGCCACAUUGUACGAGCUCGCCGCUACCACGGGAUCCAGCACGGGGAGGCGGGCAGCUCGUUGCCCGGCGGCCGUCACCCAGGCCUUUGGAGCUUGCCGGAUCCGCCGCCGGCUGGCCGUCGCCCAUCACCUCCGAGGCUCCCCUGCCUCAGCUGCCUGCGCGCCGAAAUGAAGAGAAAGACUUUGCACAGUCGGUUUGCAAGCAGAAUGUCGCUUGCAUUUUGGUGUGGAGGUGUUCUACAACUACAAUAGCAUUAGCGAGUGAUGCGGGCAACACGGGGCGGCGGCGGCGGCAGCUCGAUGCAGGGAGGCGUGGGCUCCGGUGGGGCUGGGCAUGGAUCUAGCGGAUGGCAGCCGGAUCGAAUCGAUGACGUACGGCUCCGGCGAGUCGGAAGGGCGGCGCCGGCGGCUGAGCUCCUCCAUGGACUGCUGCAGUUCCAGGGAGAGAGAGCUUCGAAGGCCUGCCUUUUCGAUCCCGGGCCCCUUCUUCCGGCCCUCUCGAGCACCGACGCCGUUGUCGUUCCCCUUCUUCUUAGACCCCCGGGACGUCCUGCUGCUGCGGUCUGCACCCCGUCCCGGUCUUCGCCCGGCCACUGGGUCUCCUCCCUCCCUUUGAGGUUUUGAAAGGAAGAAGAUAAGUUGAACCAUGGGGAAGAGGAAGGCGGCCGCUAAGCCACCCACUAGGAAGCCGAUGGACAAGGUUGAUAUGGCCUUUUCCUGCCCAUUCUGCAAUCAUGGGAGCAGCUGAUGGACAAGGUUGAUAUGGCCUUUUCCUGCCCAUUCUGCAAUCAUGGGAGCAGCGUUGAAUGCCGGAUUGAUAUGAAAAACCUGACUGGUGAGGCUAAUUGUCAAAUCUGCCAGGAAAGCUUCAGCACCACUGCAAAUGGAGGCUCUGACGAGUCGGAUGGACGGCGGCGGCAGCUGAGCUUCUCCAUGGCCUGCUGCAGUUCCAGGGAGAGAGCUUUGAAGGUGAGAAGGAGAUAUAGAAGAACAGAAAGAAGGGAGAAGAGGAAGGGCAGGGGUGUGGCGGCCUUGACUGUGAACCUCCGGUUGCGACGGUCUCCGGCGAGAGGCGGCGCAUGGCAUCGACGCGAGCCUACGGGGUGGCGGCAGCGGCGGCCGCUGCGGGAGCUCGGGCGUUUGGAUGCGUUUGGAUCGCAGGCCAAAGGUUAUGCAUAUUAGGUACGUUUUGAAUCACUAUCAAAACCUGUCCAUACAAAAUGUUGCCAUGAUUUAUCCUGCUGUUGGCUAGAUCUGAAGUAUUACCUAUCAAAUCAAUGAUUCUUUCUGUUUUGAGGCCACAUGCAUGUUGAUUCUGUCAACACACUGGGAUCCAUGUAGAUAGAACCAUAAGAAGAGGACUGGUCAUCUGAUCAUUGUAGGCCUUCAACGCCCAUUUAGGAAUUAGAACACACAUAUAUUAUUUGGAUCUCUGGCCAAUGAUUUGAGGAGCUAGCAUCAGAUGAUCUAUCGUGGCGUAGUUCUCGGUGAGUACAACCGCGCUCUACUCUAUCGUAUUUUUCUACUCUAGGCACAACAAUCGUGGGGUCAAUGUGUUGCUUGUUUUGUUUGGGUGUUUUCUCCGUGUGGCACUGGUUGGGAUUCAGAGGAGGUGCGGUGGGGGGCUUUUUCUCCUGUAGGUGAACACUCUGAUCCCUUUUUAUUGGACCAGGUAUGCCAGAUUCUGCUCUUGCAAUCGAGUUUUUGCUACCCUUCAUUUCCUUUAGCUGGAUCACGGGAUCAGUGUGGUUCUAAACUUUGUAUAAACUUUUGGAUUUGUGAGCAAAAUGAGAUGGUGGUUUGAUUACCUCCCAGCCUGUACACCCGCACACACUUAACAGCUCGAUGAGGUGGACGGUGGCGAAUUCAGUAGGAAGAUGAUCCCGGUGGAGGAGAUCCUGACGAUCAACGUGAAGUCGGGGUGGAAGGAGGGCAUGAAGGACACCUUCCCAAAAGGAAUGAUCUUAUUUUGCUGAUGUCCACCUUGGUCAGGUCGGUGCCGGUCGAGCAGGAUAAACCUCCUGGCCAAGCCAGUGGCGUCAGCAAGGCGGACGACUGCAGUGGUGUGGAGGUGCGAUCUGUCAGGUAUCUCACUCUGUUUGUGGUCAACUUUUUUGGUUCAUCAAUUCAAAACAAGCGUGAAGAGGUGAAGAUACUGGCGUGAAGGAACUAUGAGAUGAGAACAUGCUGAGAACAGUUCUAUUGAUGAUCAAUUGACAACUGUAAUUAUAUUCUAAUGCAGUUGCUGCAAGCUUUCUUUUUUAUUUAAUAUCUUUCAUUGCGACAACCUCUAAGAUUUUCAGCCAUCACUUUAUACGUGCUAUAGGGAGCUAAUUCCUGAGUUAUUGGUGUUGUCCCUUUUACUUUUCUACUCAUACAUUGUUGCUAAUUUGGAGUAAGUACAGUAAAUCUACCGACUUGGAGGUCUUUAUUAUGUAGUCGAGUUUCUUCAUGCUUCUACUGACUUUCGUGUUGUCCAUGUUUCUCUUCUAUUUCCAUCAUGGAGAAGAUAAGAUGUUGGUUUGGACAAUAUUCUGAUGCUGGUUAGUUAGAGUAGGAUAUUCUGAUGUUGGUUGAUCGUUUCCAGGCUAAGGUUCACUGGAAAAUAUAUAUUGGAACUACCAGCUAUGAUGCUAGACGAUGCUAAUGGUUUACUCCGUUUGGUGCAAGAUGUGCCAAUCAGGGUGCUUGAUCUACAAGAUGUUGAGGUUGAUGAUACUACAGCGGCUCGAUCAUUGUCUCUUCGUAGGCAUUCGAGCAUGUUUUUGAAAAGGAAAAAGAAUCACGCGAAGCCUAAACAUGACAUGGUUACGGAUGUGUAAUGGACAGCCAUGAGUUCGUUGUUGCCUGUGUUUCCUUGUUGCUAGGGGUGCCUAUGGUCACAGAUAAACCGAACUAAGAAUGACACACUAUAUGUCUAUACCAUAUACUUUCUCAGCUGAA
Molecule: long non-coding RNA, 3439 nt
Organism: Triticum aestivum (bread wheat)
Lineage: Eukaryota; Viridiplantae; Streptophyta; Magnoliopsida; Poales; Poaceae
Exons: 10
Source: RefSeq, a predicted model, not a curated record